CCAGCGCGUACGCGCGCGCGGUAGCUACUUGCCGCCGGCGGCGACGGCCUCUCGGGGCGUGCACGGUGGCGGGAAGGCCCCAAAGUAGCUGUCGAUGCAGACGCGGCGGGAAGGGCGCGACCUGGACGGCAGGCAGGUCUUGCACGUCGGAGCACACUUGUCGACCUCGUCGCCGCAGCGGCACGUCGGCGGGUUGGACUUGGUGCAGGUAGGCUUGUCGCAGCACUUCCACGGCCGGCAGAUGGGUCCAGGGUCGCCGAUGUACUGGUCUUGGCAGAUCCGGCGGGACGGGUCAGCCGCGGACGGCCCGCAGGACUUGCAGGUUUUGGGGCACUUGAAGACCUGGUCCAUGCAGGUGCAGAUGGGAGGGAACGACCUGGUGCAGAAGGGCUCGUCGCAGCACUUCCAUGGCCUCUUCUUGGCCGCCGCCAUGGCUGCUUCGCCUGCAAGCUCUCAGUUGUGAAGGACUGACGGUUUCGUCAUGGCCGCAUGAAGCCACGAACAAGCUAGCUAGAGGAAGAAAGCGGUUUGACG
RNAcentral lists this long non-coding RNA (534 nucleotides) under Hordeum vulgare. Its description in RNAcentral is "long non-coding RNA (HVUL_LNC006210)". The record is from RNAcentral. Lineage: Eukaryota; Viridiplantae; Streptophyta; Magnoliopsida; Poales; Poaceae.